GACGAACGCUGGCGGCGUGCUUAACACAUGCAAGUCGAACGGAAAGGCCCCUUCGGGGGUACUCGAGUGGCGAACGGGUGAGUAACACGUGGGCAACCUGCCCUCAGCUUCGGGAUAACACUUGGAAACAGGUGCUAAUACCGGAUAAUAACUGGUCAUCGCAUGGUGGUUGGUUCAAAGUUUUCCGGCUGAGGAUGGGCCCGCGGCCUAUCAGCUUGUUGGUGGGGUAAUGGCCUACCAAGGCGACGACGGGAGCCGGCCUGAGAGGGCGACCGGCCACACUGGGACUGAGACACGGCCCAGACUCCUACGGGAGGCAGCAGUGGGGAAUAUUGCGCAAUGGGCGGAAGCCUGACGCAGCGACGCCGCGUGAGGGAUGACGGCCUU
This 387-nucleotide ribosomal RNA is filed under the name uncultured bacterium. RNAcentral's name for it is "bacterial SSU rRNA". It matches the Rfam family "Bacterial small subunit ribosomal RNA", at positions 28 to 418 of the family's 1533-position model. The record is from RNAcentral.